RNAcentral lists this ribosomal RNA (253 nucleotides) under uncultured bacterium. RNAcentral describes it as "partial 16S ribosomal RNA". It matches the Rfam family "Bacterial small subunit ribosomal RNA", at positions 524 to 776 of the family's 1533-position model. The record is from RNAcentral.
UACGGAGGGGGCAAGCGUUAUCCGGAUUCACUGGGUUUAAAGGGUGCGUAGGCGGGCAGGUAAGUCAGUGGUGAAAUCCUAGAGCUUAACUCUAGAACUGCCAUUGAUACUAUCUGUCUUGAAUAUUGUGGAGGUAAGCGGAAUAUGUCAUGUAGCGGUGAAAUGCUUAGAUAUGACAUAGAACACCUAUUGCGAAGGCAGCUUACUACGCAUAUAUUGACGCUGAGGCACGAAAGCGUGGGGAUCAAACAGG